UGGAACCACCUGAUCCCUUCCCGAACUCAGAAGUGAAACGAUGCAUCGCCGAUGGUAGUGUGGGGUUUCCCCAUGUGAGAGUAGGUCAUCGUCAAGC
This 97-nucleotide ribosomal RNA is filed under the name Pseudomonas flavocrustae. The record is from RNAcentral. Lineage: Bacteria; Pseudomonadati; Pseudomonadota; Gammaproteobacteria; Pseudomonadales; Pseudomonadaceae.